UCAGGAUGAACGCUGGCGGCGUGCCUAACACAUGCAAGUCGAACGAAGCACUUCCGGUUGAGAUUCGUCAAGAACUGGAUUUGACUUAGUGGCGGACGGGUGAGUAAUGUAUGAGCAACCUGCCUUUCAGAGGGGGACAACAGUUGGAAACGACUGCUAAUACCGCAUAAUGUAUUGAGGAGGCAUCUCCACGAUACCAAAGGAGCAAUCCGCUGAAAGAUGGGCUCAUAUCUGAUUAGUUAGUUGGCAGGGUAACGGCCUACCAAGACUGCGAUCAGUAGCCGGACUGAGAGGUUGAACGGCCACAUUGGGACUGAGAUACGGCCCAGACUCCUACGGGAGGCAGCAGUGGGGAAUAUUGGGCAAUGGGCGAAAGCCUGACCCAAGCAACGCCGCGUGAAGGAAGAUGGUCUUCGGAUUGUAAACUUCUUUUAUGAGGGACGGAGGACGUGACGGUACCUCAUGAAUAAGCCACGGCUAACUACGUGCCAGCAGCGGC
RNAcentral lists this ribosomal RNA (499 nucleotides) under uncultured bacterium. RNAcentral describes it as "bacterial SSU rRNA". It matches the Rfam family "Bacterial small subunit ribosomal RNA", at positions 24 to 518 of the family's 1533-position model. The record is from RNAcentral.